Molecule: transfer RNA, 72 nt
Filed under: Apaloderma vittatum (bar-tailed trogon)
Lineage: Eukaryota; Metazoa; Chordata; Aves; Trogoniformes; Trogonidae
Rfam family: tRNA
About the family: Transfer RNA (tRNA) molecules are approximately 80 nucleotides in length. Their secondary structure includes four short double-helical elements and three loops (D, anti-codon, and T loops).
Source: Rfam by way of RNAcentral
GGCCAGUUAGCUCAGUCAGCUGAGCGUGGUGCUAACAAUGCCAAGGUUGCGGGUUCAAUUCCCGUUUGGUCC